UCUACGUCGGCGACCGGCGCACGGGUGCGUAACGCGUAUGCAACCUACCCAUUACAGGGGGAUAACACUGAGAAAUCGGUACUAAUACCCCAUAACAUCCAGGGAGGCAUCUUCUUGGGUUGAAAACUCCGGUGGUAACGGAUGGGCAUGCGUUGUAUUAGUUAGUUGGUGGGGUAACGGCUCACCAAGACAACGAUACAUAGGGGGACUGAGAGGUUAACCCCCCCACAUUGGUACUGAGACACGGACCAAACUCCUACGGAAGGCAGCAG
This 272-nucleotide ribosomal RNA is filed under the name uncultured bacterium. RNAcentral describes it as "partial 16S ribosomal RNA". It matches the Rfam family "Bacterial small subunit ribosomal RNA", at positions 82 to 354 of the family's 1533-position model. The record is from RNAcentral.